GAAAAAGUGGCUCCACGACGUCCAAGUGAUGAAGUGAUAACAAAGGUGAUAAUGGAUGUGCAGCAAGGAUACCAAACAGAUUUCCUCGGACAUCAACCUGGUGGAAUCCAGGUUCAUGAGUCAAAUGUACUCCGAGCUCAGCUACACAAGAAAAAAUCCUGGAAUCACUUCCAUACAAAUGAGGGUACCUAAUCAAACAAGAAUCCAAA
Molecule: unclassified non-coding RNA, 209 nt
Filed under: Hevea brasiliensis (rubber tree)
Lineage: Eukaryota; Viridiplantae; Streptophyta; Magnoliopsida; Malpighiales; Euphorbiaceae
Source: RNAcentral